AAUGACUCUCGACAACGGAUAUCUUGGCUCUCGUGAUGAUGAAGAACGUAGCGAAAUGCGGCAUUUGGUGUGAAUUGCAGAAUCCCGCGAACCAUUUAGUCUUUGAAUGCAAGUUGCGCUCUAGACCAUUGGGUCAAGGGCAUGUAUGUUUGAGUGUCUUG
RNAcentral lists this ribosomal RNA (161 nucleotides) under Allium koelzii. RNAcentral describes it as "5.8S ribosomal RNA". It matches the Rfam family "5.8S ribosomal RNA". From Rfam's summary of the family: 5.8S ribosomal RNA (5.8S rRNA) is a component of the large subunit of the eukaryotic ribosome. The record is from RNAcentral. Lineage: Eukaryota; Viridiplantae; Streptophyta; Magnoliopsida; Asparagales; Amaryllidaceae.